UACGUAGGGGGCAAGCGUUGUCCGGAUUUAUUGGGCGUAAAGAGCGUGUAGGCGGCUUGGUAGGUCUGCUGUGAAAACUCGGGGCUCAACCCCGAGACGUCGGUGGAAACCACCUGGCUAGAGUCCGGAAGAGGAGAGUGGAAUUCCUGGUGUAGCGGUGAAAUGCGCAGAUAUCAGGAAGAACACCUAUGGCGAAGGCAGCUCUCUGGGACGGUACUGACGCUGAGACGCGAAAGCGUGGGGAGCGAACAGG
RNAcentral lists this ribosomal RNA (253 nucleotides) under uncultured bacterium. Its description in RNAcentral is "partial 16S ribosomal RNA". It matches the Rfam family "Bacterial small subunit ribosomal RNA", at positions 524 to 776 of the family's 1533-position model. The record is from RNAcentral.